CAUACGGGAUGAAGGAGUUAAUUUCGUAAUUCAGAAGGGGAGUACACUGGUCUGUAGUCGGCAUUUCUCAGCGGCUGAUUAUGACGACGGGAGUGCUACGCUGAAUACUGGAGCUGUUCCCAGUCGUUUUGACUGGAACAGCUACAUCACAGCCCCGAAGAAAACACCCGUGUAUAAACGGGUGUCAGCUCUAAAAGCUGAAGGAGAGGACAAAACACAAACGGACCGGAGAGGUACCGGGGAACAUGACUACGCGACACGCCCCCCUGCCGGUUCACUGGAUGAUGCCCUGGAGUAUAUUGCUGAGCUGGAGGCAAGGCUGCAAGAAAUGUCCAUGGGGCCACAAACUGUCCUCAACAGAUUUUGUGUGUCUGAUCAGACCAUGAAAUAUUACACUCGGUUUCCAUCUCAAGAAGUGUUUCAAGUGUUUUGGGAGUCUGUUUGCCCCUCAACACAAUAUAUUGUUUAUUGGAGCAAAGCACAGAGGAUUGGACAAGAGGCGAUUCCAACACCAAGCCCUUCAAGGAAGAUUCCAGUCAUUGAUGAGUUUUUCAUCUACUGUUGUAGAGUAGCAACUGGCCUUAAAGAACAGGUCAUUGCUGACAUCUUCCAGGUCAGCACAGCUGAGAGGGUA
This is a long non-coding RNA of Gadus macrocephalus (Pacific cod), 634 nucleotides long. RefSeq lists it as uncharacterized. The transcript is spliced from 2 exons. The record is from RefSeq and is a predicted model, not a curated record. Lineage: Eukaryota; Metazoa; Chordata; Actinopteri; Gadiformes; Gadidae.